CCCUUAGACGUUCUGGGCCGCACGCGCGCUACACUGAUGCAUUCAACGAGUUUCUUCCUGGUCCGAGAGGAAUGGGUAACCUUUUGAAAGUGCAUCGUGAUAGGGAUAGACUAUUGCAAUUAUUGGUCUUCAACGAGGAAUUCCUAGUAGACGUAGUUCAUCAGACUGCAUCGAUUACGUCCCUGCCCUUUGUACACACCGCCCGUCGCUCCUACCGAUUGAAUGCUCAGGUGAGCCAUUCGGACUUUCAUCAUGCUGGUUUCCAGUUUUGAUGAAGGAAAGUCUUGCGAACCCUAUCAUUUAGAGGAAGGAGAAGUCGUAACA
This 324-nucleotide ribosomal RNA is filed under the name uncultured eukaryote. RNAcentral's name for it is "partial 18S ribosomal RNA". It matches the Rfam family "Eukaryotic small subunit ribosomal RNA", at positions 1470 to 1796 of the family's 1831-position model. The record is from RNAcentral.